GUCAAUUUUGUUGCUUAAAAUGGAAUCCCACUUUACUAUAAAAGUAAGCUUAUAUUAUUUUUAGGCUUUUUAUGUAUUACUCGUUGAACAAACUUUGUUUGUAUUAGGUACGAAAACAUAAGUGAAACAUAUAAAAAGUGUGUUAGUUGAAUCCAA
RNAcentral lists this microRNA precursor (156 nucleotides) under Aedes aegypti (yellow fever mosquito). RNAcentral's name for it is "partial AAEL017578-RA". Lineage: Eukaryota; Metazoa; Arthropoda; Insecta; Diptera; Culicidae. The record is from RNAcentral.